UUUAAUAAUUAAAGUUAUUUUAAUUUGUGAAGAAACAAUUAUAUAAAUUAAGGACAAGAAGACCCUAAGAAUUUAAGAAUUCUUAUGUUACUUAAAUAUAAAAUAGGAAUUCUUAGUUGGGGCAACUAAAAAACAUUAUAAACUUUUUUUUCUUUAAA
This 158-nucleotide ribosomal RNA is filed under the name Dermacentor reticulatus. RNAcentral's name for it is "partial large subunit ribosomal RNA". Lineage: Eukaryota; Metazoa; Arthropoda; Arachnida; Ixodida; Ixodidae. The record is from RNAcentral.